This 1008-nucleotide ribosomal RNA is filed under the name uncultured Burkholderia sp. RNAcentral's name for it is "bacterial SSU rRNA". It matches the Rfam family "Bacterial small subunit ribosomal RNA", at positions 351 to 1357 of the family's 1533-position model. Lineage: Bacteria; Pseudomonadati; Pseudomonadota; Betaproteobacteria; Burkholderiales; Burkholderiaceae. The record is from RNAcentral.
GCAGUGGGGAAUUUUGGACAAUGGGCGAAAGCCUGAUCCAGCAAUGCCGCGUGUGUGAAGAAGGCCUUCGGGUUGUAAAGCACUUUUGUCCGGAAAGAAAUCCUUGGCUCUAAUACAGUCGGGGGAUGACGGUACCGGAAGAAUAAGCACCGGCUAACUACGUGCCAGCAGCCGCGGUAAUACGUAGGGUGCGAGCGUUAAUCGGAAUUACUGGGCGUAAAGCGUGCGCAGGCGGUUUGCUAAGACCGAUGUGAAAUCCCCGGGCUCAACCUGGGAACUGCAUUGGUGACUGGCAGGCUAGAGUAUGGCAGAGGGGGGUAGAAUUCCACGUGUAGCAGUGAAAUGCGUAGAGAUGUGGAGGAAUACCGAUGGCGAAGGCAGCCCCCUGGGCCAAUACUGACGCUCAUGCACGAAAGCGUGGGGAGCAAACAGGAUUAGAUACCCUGGUAGUCCACGCCUUAAACGAUGUCAACUAGUUGUUGGGGAUUCAUUUCCUUAGUAACGUAGCUAACGCGUGAAGUUGACCGCCUGGGGAGUACGGUCGCAAGAUUAAAACUCAAAGGAAUUGACGGGGACCCGCACAAGCGGUGGAUGAUGUGGAUUAAUUCGAUGCAACGCGAAAAACCUUACCUACCCUUGACAUGGUCGGAAUCCCGCUGAGAGGUGGGAGUGCUCGAAAGAGAACCGGCGCACAGGUGCUGCAUGGCUGUCGUCAGCUCGUGUCGUGAGAUGUUGGGUUAAGUCCCGCAACGAGCGCAACCCUUGUCCUUAGUUGCUACGCAAGAGCACUCUAAGGAGACUGCCGGUGACAAACCGGAGGAAGGUGGGGAUGACGUCAAGUCCUCAAGGCCCUUAUGGGUAGGGCUUCACACGUCAUACAAUGGUCGGAACAGAGGGUUGCCAACCCGCGAGGGGGAGCUAAUCCCAGAAAACCGAUCGUAGUCCGGAUUGCACUCUGCAACUCGAGUGCAUGAAGCGGGAAUCGCUAGUAAUCGCGGAUCAGCAUGC